UGACGCCUGUUCCUCCCUCUGCCCGAAGUCAGGCAGUAUGGAUUUUAGAGCGUCACAGAAUCAACAGGGUCUCUUUCACCCAGUGGACACAAGGCAGCAGGGCUGUCAGUUGUCCCACUGGACUUUGCGGGACCCUACACGU
Molecule: small nucleolar RNA, 142 nt
Organism: Osmerus eperlanus (European smelt)
Lineage: Eukaryota; Metazoa; Chordata; Actinopteri; Osmeriformes; Osmeridae
Product: small nucleolar RNA SNORA79
Exons: 1
Source: RefSeq, a predicted model, not a curated record